AGUUUGUGCCCAAUUAGUCAACUAAAACAAGUUCUCAAGGGACUGUUUGUGUGUAGUUUAGAAUUACUUGUAUAUUCCUAGUCCCUGCCUUUUAGGAGCUAAGAAGUAAAAUUUGGUGUGAACAAAAAUGUAGCAGGACAAUAUCAACAAAACCCUUGAAAAAAUGCAGAAAUAGUAAAAGUGUCUCCUUCUUUAGAUGGCUUUCUUAGAUCACAGAGGUCUGCGGCAUUCCAGUGCAAAAGUUCGGAGCAGGACGGCUUACCUGUUUUCUAGAUUUGUCAAAUCUCUCAAUAAGCAAAUGAAUCCUUUCAUUGAGGAUAUUUUGAAUAGAAUACAAGAUUUAUUAGAGCUUUCUCCACCUGAGAAUGGCCACCAGUCCUUACUGAGCAGCGAUGAUCAACUUUUUAUUUAUGAGACAGCUGGAGUGCUGAUUGUUAAUAGUGAAUACCCGGCUGAAAGGAAACAAGCCUUAAUGAGGAAUCUGUUGACUCCACUAAUGGAGAAGUUUAAAAUUCUGUUAGAA
RNAcentral lists this small RNA (523 nucleotides) under Pan troglodytes (chimpanzee). RNAcentral describes it as "retained intron". The record is from RNAcentral. Lineage: Eukaryota; Metazoa; Chordata; Mammalia; Primates; Hominidae.